RNAcentral lists this unclassified non-coding RNA (312 nucleotides) under plant metagenome. Its description in RNAcentral is "partial contains 5.8S ribosomal RNA, internal transcribed spacer 2, and large subunit ribosomal RNA". The stretch from base 1 to 105 matches the Rfam family "5.8S ribosomal RNA", at positions 50 to 154 of the family's 154-position model. The record is from RNAcentral.
GAAAUGCGAUAAGUAAUGUGAAUUACAGAAUUCCGUGAAUCAUCGAAUCUUUGAACGCACAUUGCGCCCUCUGGCAUUCCGGGGGGCAUGCCUGUCCGAGCGUCAUUACGCACCCUCAAGCCCGGCUUGUGUGAUGGGCCCCGGCGUCUCGUUCGCGAGACGGGCCCGAAAGGCAGCGGCGGCGUCGACCCGAUGAGCCCGAGCGUAUGGGGACUUCUGUCACACGUUCGCGGUGCGGACCGGCGCCUGCUUGACUUUUCUGAUUAUCCAGGUUGACCUCGGAUCAGGUAGGGAUACCCGCUGAACUUAAGC